RNAcentral lists this unclassified non-coding RNA (347 nucleotides) under Hevea brasiliensis (rubber tree). Lineage: Eukaryota; Viridiplantae; Streptophyta; Magnoliopsida; Malpighiales; Euphorbiaceae. The record is from RNAcentral.
AUUUCGUCAAACGCCAAAUGAUGACAAAAAGUGUGAGGAAAGAGAGAGAGAGAGAUUGUGAGUGAGGAAAGGAAACAAGUGAGAGUGAAUGUGAGAGAGCGAGAGAGAAAGGCUGGUUGUGAGUUGUGAGUGAAGAAAAGAAACGAGUGAGAAUGAGAGUGAGGAAAGGAAACGAGUGAGAGUGAUAAGACGUGAGUGAGGAAAGAUAGCGAGACGAGCAAGAGUGACAGAACAUGGUAGUGUGGCAGUUAUGGCAGGGUUGAUAGAGACAUGUUAACAAAAUUGUGGACUGGGUCCACAAUUUGCAUACCAUGUGGCUAAUUUGUGUUUCACGAUUCUUCCACCUA